AUUCACAUUCAUUUAUUCAACUUCAAAAUGUACAAUAAUACCUCCAAUAUAUAUAUACAAUUACAACAAAUUAGAAAACAAGUAAUCAAAGAUAAAAACUGAAACUAACAACGUGUAAUCGGUUACACUUAUUUCUAAAAACAAUUUCAACACAUUGAUAAACAAUUACUAAAAAAACAAUAAUCAAUUAUGUCUGUUUUGACAACUAAAGAUCC
Molecule: long non-coding RNA, 215 nt
Filed under: Lathyrus oleraceus (garden pea)
Lineage: Eukaryota; Viridiplantae; Streptophyta; Magnoliopsida; Fabales; Fabaceae
Description: Pisum sativum (pea) long non-coding RNA (PSAT_LNC036865)
Source: RNAcentral